RNAcentral lists this ribosomal RNA (253 nucleotides) under uncultured bacterium. RNAcentral describes it as "partial 16S ribosomal RNA". It matches the Rfam family "Bacterial small subunit ribosomal RNA", at positions 524 to 776 of the family's 1533-position model. The record is from RNAcentral.
CACGUAGGGCGCAAGCGUUGUCCGGAAUUAUUGGGCGUAAAGAGCCCGUAGGCGGUCUGUUGCGUCCGCUGUGAAAACUCGGGGCUUAACCCCGAGCCUGCAGUGGAUACGGGCAGACUAGAGGUAGGUAGGGGAGAAUGGAAUUCCAGGUGUAGCGGUGAAAUGCGCAGAUAUCGGGAGGAACACCGGUGGCGAAGGCGGUUCUCUGGGCCUUACCUGACGCUGAGGAGCGAAAGCGUGGGGAGCGAACAGG